GAAGAGUUUGAUCAUGGCUCAGAUUGAACGCUGGCGGCAUGCCUAACACAUGCAAGUCGAACGAGAAGGUAGCUUCGGUUACUGGACAGUGGCGGACGGGUGAGUAACACGUGGGAAUAUGCCUUUCGGUAGAGAACAACGCUUGGAAACGAGUGCUAAUACUCUAUACGCCCUCCGGGGGAAAGAUUUAUCGCCGAGAGAUUGGCCCGCGUUAGAUUAGCUAGUUGGUGAGGUAAUGGCUCACCAAGGCGACGAUCUAUAGCUGGUUUGAGAGGAUGAUCAGCCACACUGGGACUGAGACACGGCCCAGACUCCUACGGGAGGCAGCAGUGGGGAAUAUUGGACAAUGGGGGAAACCCUGAUCCAGCCAUGCCGCGUGAGUGAAGAAGGCCUUAGGGUUGUAAAGCUCUUUCAGUCGUGAAGAUGGUGACUGUAGCGACAGAAGAAGCCCCGGCUAACUCCGUGCCAGCAGCCGCGGUAAUACGGAGGGGGCUAGCGUUGUUCGGAUUUACUGGGCGUAAAGCGCACGUAGGCGGAUCGAUCAGUCAG
This 549-nucleotide ribosomal RNA is filed under the name Lotharella globosa. RNAcentral's name for it is "partial Bacterial small subunit ribosomal RNA". It matches the Rfam family "Bacterial small subunit ribosomal RNA", at positions 1 to 591 of the family's 1533-position model. Lineage: Eukaryota; Cercozoa; Chlorarachniophyceae. The record is from RNAcentral.